GCGAAGUUCGGGCACGGGAGCCGGGUGAUAGGAAGGCGUACAUGUUUAAUCGGAAGUACUUGGCGUAAAGCGUGCGUAGGCGGUUCUUUAAGUCGUGUUGGAAGUGCCCUGGCUCAAACGGGGAAUGACAUGUGAUACUGGGGAUCUAUAGGGUGAUAGAGGGUAGUGGAAUUCCCGGUGUAGCGGUGAAAUGCGUAGAGAGCGGGAGGAACAUCAGUGGCGAAGGCGGCCAUCUGGAUCAACACUGACGCUGAGGCACGAAAGCGUGGGGAGCAAACAGGAUUAGAUACCCUUGUAGUC
This 300-nucleotide ribosomal RNA is filed under the name uncultured Natronoarchaeum sp. Its description in RNAcentral is "bacterial SSU rRNA". The stretch from base 52 to 300 matches the Rfam family "Bacterial small subunit ribosomal RNA", at positions 547 to 795 of the family's 1533-position model. Lineage: Archaea; Methanobacteriati; Methanobacteriota; Halobacteria; Halobacteriales; Natronoarchaeaceae. The record is from RNAcentral.